Molecule: long non-coding RNA, 623 nt
Filed under: Fragaria vesca (wild strawberry)
Lineage: Eukaryota; Viridiplantae; Streptophyta; Magnoliopsida; Rosales; Rosaceae
Description: long non-coding RNA (FVES_LNC003983)
Source: RNAcentral
GAUAAUUGUGCUAGGGAAAUGCAGAUAUAUAUAUGUCGUAAUCCAUUUGAGAAAUUGUUUCAAUAUGAGCUAUUUAUGUAUGUACCUACAUAUAAUGUUAAUAUAUAUAGCUAAUAAUUGUUUGUUUUAUAUAAGAUGGAUAAAACAUGGAUGCUGGCAGACAGGAGGUCACUAAGGUUUAAGAUAGGAUUUGAAAAUUUUCUUAAGGUCGCAUCGGAUAAUGCUAAGGACCCUAAUAAUAUACCUUGCCCUUGCUUAAAGUGCUGCAACAAUGGAUUUGGUUCUAUACAGUUCAUUAAGGAUCAUGUCUUUUUUAAUGGUAUAAUGGAAAACUAUGACCGUUGGAAGUGGCACGGAGAAUGUUCUUAUGCCGCCAGACAUGGUUUGAGUGAGGGUUCUGAAACAGUAGAAAUGAAUCCAGAUUUAGGGAUAGAAGUAGAUGAUGUGGGUAAUGAAGAUGAAGAGCUUUCGGCAGACUCGAAUGAGUUUAUGCAGUUUGUAGAGGAUGGAGAUAAGCCUCUAUAUCCUGGUUGUACCAAAGCAACCAAGAUGAAUGGUUUGAUAAAAACCUUAAAUCUUAAAGCAAGGUACGGACUGUCCGAUUCAUGCUAUUCAGACAUUUU